This 63-nucleotide transfer RNA is filed under the name Marmota marmota marmota (Alpine marmot). It matches the Rfam family "tRNA". Rfam says of the family: Transfer RNA (tRNA) molecules are approximately 80 nucleotides in length. Their secondary structure includes four short double-helical elements and three loops (D, anti-codon, and T loops). Lineage: Eukaryota; Metazoa; Chordata; Mammalia; Rodentia; Sciuridae. The record is from Rfam by way of RNAcentral. RNAcentral also lists the same sequence under 2 other names.
GGGAAUAAAGCUCAGUGGUAGAGUGCUUGCCUAGCAAGCAUGAGGCCCUGGAUUCUAUGCCCA